Molecule: long non-coding RNA, 1596 nt
Filed under: Olea europaea (common olive)
Lineage: Eukaryota; Viridiplantae; Streptophyta; Magnoliopsida; Lamiales; Oleaceae
Description: long non-coding RNA (OEUR_LNC015148)
Source: RNAcentral
GUAAGAAAUGAAUUUCAAUUCAUUAAAAAUUCCUAAUUACAAUUGGGCUAAAGCCAUUUAAAUUGAAAUUAAGAAAAUAAAAAGCCUAAAAAGCUAAGCAGGCAAGGGAGGGAAAUGAGCACCAACAAAGGGAAUGAUGGCAUUGGUCUACUGCUUUAGAAGUUUCGUUAUACCCUCCAGCUUCAUCUUGAAGUUUGAUCACAUGCUGCCUCCGUGGGAGUCUAAGGUUCUCCCUCUUCCAAAAAUUCUGACCUCAACUCUGUGGUGUUGAAAAUUGAGUGUACCUCAAUCUAUUUCGCCAUCUUGAUGUAAGCAAACUUCCUUCAAUAUCUGUCGAAGCUCUGAUACUCUUUAUUAAGUUAAACAUGGCUGUAUACUGCUUCACAACAUAUUUGCCAGCAGAUUGGGCUUCUUCCCUAACACAUUCCAUCUCUUCAGUAAGGCCAGCAGCUCCGGAGUUAAGCUUUCCCACCCAUUGGUUCAACACAGCAUUCUCUUUAUUUGACCUCUCCAAGGCCUUGGUAGCCAAUUUUUGAUAAGCAUCAGAAGUCUCCACUCACUUGGUCAAAGAAGUCACUCCACUCUGGAAUAAGUGGAUUUCUUCUUUAAAUUUUCAAUCUCUGUAGGGCAGAGGCAACCUUUACGGACUCCUCGGCUUACUACUUUUUUACGGCCUCAAAAUCGGCCUUACUUUCUUGGCCUCUUCCUCAUCCUUGGAGGUCUUAUUAAAAAAUUCCUUAUUUUUCUUCUGAUGUUUUUAUAGGGGACUUCAAUCUCUAUGGCAAUUCCAAAUGCCUUUCGUGUUUGGCUUAUCAUUGUAGCAAAAAUGUCAGCCGAAUCACUGGACUCGGCAAAGGUCUUCCAUCUAUCCCUUCAAUGCUUGUGAAAUGUGGCAGUAGCCAUUUUGGACCUUUGGAGAUAGUAUGGAUGAGCCUUUGAAACUAGUUUAUCAUUCAUCUUUGACAAGGAGAGCUUCGUCUGGUGAUGUGCCACACCCAAAAUAGUUGAGGUAUCAUUCGACACUCUCCCUUUAUUUGAAAACUUUUGCCUCUGAUGCUCCAAUGAAGAUGGCCUCUUCUAUCCCUCCUCAUUACAGCGAUAAAUGCUGCCAUCAACUUCUCUCCUACAGGAACUUCAAAUCGAGGGGGCAGAUUCAUAGUAGAUCCUCUCUCAGGUAGAAGAGAAUAUAAAUUUUUUUGGGGACCUUAUCCACCCUAUUCUUCCCAUUGUGCUUUGAAGGGGGUCAUCUGUCACCUUCACGGUCAGUAGUUUCCUUGCUAGCCUUUUCCACUCUGUCCAUCACCUGCUUGGCAGCAGCAAGUAAGGGCUUAAACCUUCUUCCCAACCAUGGAGGUCGUGGCUAGGAUGGAAGCAAUGUUUGGGGUUGAGUACUUCAUCUUUUCAAAAUUUUCUGCAAACGAAAGGAAAACAUGAUCAGUAUAAAUGUUACUCUACAAACAGUAAGGAAAAUUUUUAAGUGUUGCCUCUUAAAUAAACGAUGAGCAACGAUCAACCGUUUGAACUUUUGAGAAGAUAAAGGACGAAGGUAGAUGUCUUCUACAACACCCUACUUCGCCUGCAUAUAUUUGAUGCGAU